GGGUCCAUAGCUCAGUGGCAGAGCAUUUGACUGCAGAUCAAGAAUGUUUUAUGACUUUCAAUGUUGUAGAUUUUGUUGGGCCCU
Molecule: transfer RNA, 84 nt
Filed under: Gossypium hirsutum (cotton)
Lineage: Eukaryota; Viridiplantae; Streptophyta; Magnoliopsida; Malvales; Malvaceae
Rfam family: tRNA
About the family: Transfer RNA (tRNA) molecules are approximately 80 nucleotides in length. Their secondary structure includes four short double-helical elements and three loops (D, anti-codon, and T loops).
Source: Rfam by way of RNAcentral